Long non-coding RNA from Panicum hallii, 2686 nucleotides. RefSeq lists it as uncharacterized. Lineage: Eukaryota; Viridiplantae; Streptophyta; Magnoliopsida; Poales; Poaceae. The transcript is spliced from 4 exons. The record is from RefSeq and is a predicted model, not a curated record.
GCGCUCGCGUGGCCGGCUUGAGCAGCGCGCGGGCUACCUGGCCACCGCUGGCUCGCGUGGCUAUGCUCGAGUAGCACGCGGGCCCGCCUAGCCGCCGCGCACGCUAGCUGCUGAGAGAGCAGGGGUGACUCGCGUGGCUGUGUUGGAGCAGCACGCUAGCUGCUAGGGGAGCAGGCCCGCCUAGCAACUGCGUGCAUGUCCCGCGCCGAUUCCCGCAUUGAAUCCCCAGCUACAUAAGAUUUAGCUAAACACGAGGGAUGGGGACGCCAAGCAAGAACCUAGACGGUUCUUGGCUUCCUGCAGGGACGAUUGAGGGCUUAUUGUUCAAGGAAGGAAAAAGAAGGGUGCAGGUGGAGGUUGCAUGCUUCUACAAUUAAGGGUGAAAAAACCGUAAAGGUGAAGAAGAAUCCACGGCAACAUACAUGUUCUAGUACAUGAAGAAGCAAGGUUGUAAAGAAUGCAAUAAAAUUUUGGAUCCGUGAACAAGUGAAGGAUUAGCUAAUGGAGGAUUCAAUUUGAAAGCUAAAGAAUUACAAAGGAGAAUAAAGGAUAAGCACAAGAUAGAGGUUUCCCACAAGAGAGUGUAUGCAGGUAAAGAAUUAGCACAUACACAAUUAAGGCUGAGAUGGAGAGGUGCUGUUCUCAAAAUUUUGUUGUCAUUGAUCAUCAUAAAGUUGAUGGGAAAAUAAGAUUUAAUAGGCUGUUUUUUCUAUGAAACCAUGCAUAGAAGGCUUUCUAAAAGGAUGCAGGCCUUAUUUGGCAAUAGAUAGCAUAUUUUUGACAGGAAGGUAGGGGGCAGCUGGCAUGUGCAGUAGCUGUAGAUGGACACAACUGGAUGUAUCCAGUUGUUGUUGGAGUGAUGGACUCGGAAACAAAUGAAAAUUGGAUCUAAUUUAUGCAAAAUCUUAGAGAUGCUGUUGGAUCACCUGAAGGCUUAGCUAUAUGUACAGAUGCUGGACAAGGAGUGAUGACGGGAGCUAAGGAAGUGUUCCCAGUUGCAGAAUAUAGGGAAUGCAUGCUACAUUUGGUGAUAAACUUCACGAAAAGAUAUACAUGAAAGAUAUUUGAGGACCAUCUUUGGGCAGCAACAUAUUCGUGGGCUCCAUACUUCUUUGAGAAGCAUUGGAAUGCAAUGGAUGAAGAAAAUCCAGAAGCAAUGAAUUAUAUAAGACAAUGUCAUACUAAGGUAUGGGUAAGAAGUCAAUUUUGGACCCGUUGCAAGGUUGACUAUGUCACAAACAACUUGGCAGAGUGCUACAACAAUUGGGUAAAGAAGUACAAGGGUUUGAAUUUGGAUGACUUUAUAGACAUGAUUAGAUAACUUAUUAUGAAUAAGUGGGAUAUUAGAACGGAUGUCUCGGCAAAGAUUGAAGGGGUCAUUUUGCCACACAUCAUGAAGGAGUUGAGGGAGCAAAGCAGGAAUUUGGAUAUGGAUGUCCAUAGAAGCUACAAAUGUGUUGUCAAUCUAGAAGAAAGAACUUGUUGUGCAAGAAAUGGAAAGUAUCAGGGAUUCCAUGCAAACAUGCCAUUGCAUUCAUCACAUAUCUUAGGGAACCUCUAGAAAAAUAUGUUGAAAACUAUUAUUCAGUCGAUAAAUUCAGAGCUGCUUAUGAGUCUCUUAUUCCUGUGAUGCCUAACAAAGCACAAUGGCCACAAUCUGGUCAUAGUCUUUUUAUGCAUCCACCACUCAUAAAAUCUACAGCGGGUAGAAGACAGAACCAGAGGUUUAAAGGUUGUACGGAAGGCAGCACAACAAGAAAGAAAAGGUCACAUCAGUGCAAAGUUUGCAAGAAAUUUGACCAUCGCUGGUAUAAGUGCAAGGAAGGUGACCCUGAGGACAUAGCAACUAUGCUAGCUGAAAAAAAAGAAAGAAAAUCAUUGAUCCAUCUUGUGAGAGUAGCAUUGUACCUGUUGGUCUAACACCUAAGACAAUGAAUUUUCCUCCUAGGUAUGUAUCUGUACAUUUAUAUUCUAGUUUUUUUUCAAAGGCAUAUGGCAUUUCAUUCAUUUCUAAUAUUAUAUUUGUAUUACAGCCAAAGUACUUCGGUUAGUUUAGGAUCUAGAAACUCUCUCAGGUAUAUGUCAUAUUCACUGCUUACGCAUAUUAUCAUGCUUGGUAAAUUUUUUAUACGUAUAGAACUCAUGUGCAAGUCCGGAAGUGGCUCAAACCAACUUGAGCUACUUCUUGCACAUGAGACAACACCACCACCUGCCACCUCCAAGCUCAGGGAGAAGAAAGCUAAAGGGAAGGCAGCAGAGAAGAAAAAUGAAAAAGAAGUUUCAGUGCCACAUGAUAGUCCUGCAAUGAGUACUGGAAGCAAAACUCCUCAACAAGACAGCCCUACCUCUCAUAGCAGAAGCAACACUUACUGAUUUGAACUAGUGUUGAUGCUGUUUCUUUUGCGUGUCAUUUCCUAUGUUGGUUGGUCUUUGUGACACCAAAUCUAGUGUUAUUUUGCUAAGCUUAUUUCAACUAGUAGUUGUUGUUACUCUACCUGUAUAGCUGCUUGUAUGGAAGCAAUGGCUGAUUGCAAGGAUGCUUGUAUGGACAUCAAUGAUUACUUGUAUGACUGCUAUGUAUGUACAACAAUGAUGCUUGUAUGGACAUCAAUGACUACUUGUAUAGCUGCAUAUAUGGACAACAAUGAUGCUAUAUAGACAUCAAUAGACAUCAGUGGUUGUUUGA